Molecule: ribosomal RNA, 497 nt
Filed under: uncultured bacterium
Lineage: Bacteria
Description: partial 16S ribosomal RNA
Rfam family: Bacterial small subunit ribosomal RNA
Source: RNAcentral
GAUGAACGCUGGCGGCGUGCCUAAUACAUGCGAGUCGAGCGAACAGAUAAGGAGCUUGCUCCUUUGACGUUAGCGGCGGACGGGUGAGUAACGCGUGGAUAACCUACCUAUAAGACUGGGAUAACUUCGGGAAACCGGAGCUAAUACCGGAUAACAUAUUGAACCGCAUGGUUCAAUAGUGAAAGGCGGCUUUGCUGUCACUUAUAGAUGGAUCCGCGCCGUAUUAGCUAGUUGGUAAGGUAACGGCUUACCAAGGCAACGAUACGUAGCCGACCUGAGAGGGUGAGCGGCCACACUGGAACUGAGACACGGUCCAGACUCCUACGGGAGGCAGCAGUAGGGAAUCUUCCGCAAUGGGCGAAAGCCUGACGGAGCAACGCCGCGUGAGUGAUGAAGGUCUUCGGAUCGUAAAACUCUGUUAUCAGGGAAGAACAAAUGUGUAAGUAACUGUGCACAUCUUGACGGUACCUGAUCAGAAAGCCACGGCUAACUACGUG